RNAcentral lists this ribosomal RNA (253 nucleotides) under uncultured bacterium. RNAcentral's name for it is "partial 16S ribosomal RNA". It matches the Rfam family "Bacterial small subunit ribosomal RNA", at positions 524 to 776 of the family's 1533-position model. The record is from RNAcentral.
UACGUAGGGUCCGAGCGUUGUCCGGAAUUAUUGGGCGUAAAGAGCUCGUAGGCGGUUUGUCGCGUCUGCUGUGAAAUCCCGAGGCUCAACCUCGGGUCUGCAGUGGGUACGGGCAGACUGGAGUGCGGUAGGGGAGAAUGGAAUUCCUGGUGUAGCGGUGAAAUGCGCAGAUAUCAGGAGGAACACCAAUGGCGAAGGCAGCUCGCUGGGACGGUACUGACGCUGAGGCGCGAAAGCGUGGGGAGCAAACAGG